UGUGCUUACAAACUACAUGACA
This 22-nucleotide small nuclear RNA is filed under the name Arabidopsis thaliana (thale cress). RNAcentral's name for it is "snRNA_14251". Lineage: Eukaryota; Viridiplantae; Streptophyta; Magnoliopsida; Brassicales; Brassicaceae. The record is from RNAcentral.